CACAUAAAAAGGAAGCUAGCAGCCUGGCAGCACACAUCGGAGCUAUCAAUACUCCAGCAGGACGACUAACAAGAGAUCGGUGUACACUGUACAGACAGGUUCAAACAUGAAGACUGUGAUUCUUGCUCUUCUGGUAUUGGUGGUUGUGAGCCAGGGUGAAGCCUUGAGGUGUAAUUGUGAAGGCACCUUUGUGAAAUGUUCAGACCCU
Long non-coding RNA from Cyclopterus lumpus (lumpfish), 208 nucleotides. RefSeq lists it as uncharacterized. The record is from RefSeq and is a predicted model, not a curated record. The transcript has 3 exons. Lineage: Eukaryota; Metazoa; Chordata; Actinopteri; Perciformes; Cyclopteridae.